Parus major (Great Tit) is the source of this 283-nucleotide long non-coding RNA. RefSeq lists it as uncharacterized. The transcript is spliced from 2 exons. NCBI's taxonomy places the organism in Eukaryota, Metazoa, Chordata, Aves, Passeriformes, Paridae. The record is from RefSeq and is a predicted model, not a curated record.
GGCUCGAGAGGAGAGAGGUGCCCUGUCCUGCCCUUUGCCUGGGGUUUCUUUUCCUCUGCGUGAGCAGGGCCUUGUGAGGUCACCGGGAAUAGAAAAGGCGUUUGUGCAAAUGAGGGGCAGCUGAAAGCAACCCACUGUUUCUGGUCUGUCAAGAGUCUGACUCUGAAGCGUCACGUUGGAAUUAUUUCAAAGGGAGGUUACAAACCUAGCUGAUCAGAGCUCCACAAGUGGAGUAACAGUUCCUGACUGAUAAUGAAGAAAUAAAAGUUUCUGCUGGCAAAUA